This 253-nucleotide ribosomal RNA is filed under the name uncultured bacterium. RNAcentral describes it as "partial 16S ribosomal RNA". It matches the Rfam family "Bacterial small subunit ribosomal RNA", at positions 524 to 776 of the family's 1533-position model. The record is from RNAcentral.
UACGUAGGGGGCAAGCGUUAUCCGGAAUUAUUGGGCGUAAAGCGCGCGCAGGUGGUUCCUUAAGUCUGAUGUGAAAGCCCACGGCUCAACCGUGGAGGGUCAUUGGAAACUGGGGAACUUGAGUGCAGAAGAGGAAAGUGGAAUUCCAAGUGUAGCGGUGAAAUGCGUAGAGAUUUGGAGGAACACCAGUGGCGAAGGCGACUUUCUGGUCUGUAACUGACACUGAGGCGCGAAAGCGUGGGGAGCAAACAGG